AAAAUAAUAUAUUAGUUUAACUUAUAUUAAUAAUAUUAAAAAAAUACAAUUACAUUUGGAAUUUUUGUAAAAAUAUGCAUUUAAAAUAUGUUAGAGAUUAUUUUUUAUUUUUUAAAAUUUUUAAUUAAAUAUUUUAUAAUAUUUAUUUAUAUAAAUUAUGGUAGAAUGUUUGGUAGUAAAUAUAAAAAUCACAUUAUUACGCCUCAUAUGCAAGGAUACACUUUUGUAUUUCAUUGUUGCAAUUGUAUUAUAACAACAUAUAUAUUUUUUAAAUGAGUUUAAUGUCAAUAAUUUACUUAUUGUAAAUGAAA
Molecule: long non-coding RNA, 311 nt
Filed under: Physcomitrium patens
Lineage: Eukaryota; Viridiplantae; Streptophyta; Bryopsida; Funariales; Funariaceae
Description: long non-coding RNA (PPAT_LNC012686)
Source: RNAcentral